AGUGAACGCUGGCGGUAGGCCUAACACAUGCAAGUCGAACGGCAGCACAGUAAGAGCUUGCUCUUACGGGUGGCGAGUGGCGGACGGGUGAGGAAUACAUCGGAAUCUACUUUUUCGUGGGGGAUAACGUAGGGAAACUUACGCUAAUACCGCAUACGACCUACGGGUGAAAGCAAGGGAUCUUCGGACCUUGCGCGAUUGAAUGAGCCGAUGUCGGAUUAGCUAGUUGGCGGGGUAAAGGCCCACCAAGGCGACGAUCCGUAGCUGGUCUGAGAGGAUGAUCAGCCACACUGGAACUGAGACACGGUCCAGACUCCUACGGGAGGCAGCAGUGGGGAAUAUUGGACAAUGGGCGCAAGCCUGAUCCAGCCAUACCGCGUGGGUGAAGAAGGCCUGCGGGUUGUAAAGCCCUUUUGUUGGGAAAGAAAAGCAGCAGGUUAAUACCCCGCUGUUCGGACGGUACCCAAAGAAUAAGCACCGGCUAACUUCGU
Molecule: ribosomal RNA, 491 nt
Filed under: uncultured bacterium
Lineage: Bacteria
Description: partial 16S ribosomal RNA
Rfam family: Bacterial small subunit ribosomal RNA
Source: RNAcentral